Molecule: long non-coding RNA, 235 nt
Filed under: Salvia miltiorrhiza (redroot sage)
Lineage: Eukaryota; Viridiplantae; Streptophyta; Magnoliopsida; Lamiales; Lamiaceae
Description: long non-coding RNA (SMIL_LNC009618)
Source: RNAcentral
AAAUUGAAUAUGUAUUAUAAAAUAUAAAUAUAUAAUAAAAUAUUAAUAUUUAUCGGUUCGGUUCGGUUUAAAACCGAACCAAAAAUUGAAAACCGAAACCGAACCAAAACUUAUCGGUUUUUAAUUUUCGGAACCGAACCGAAAACCGAACCAAUAGAUUCGGGACCGAACCGCACCAAAACGGUUCGGUUCGGUUCGGUUUUGCAUUUCGGUUCGGUUUCUGCUCACCCCUACC